Nomascus leucogenys (northern white-cheeked gibbon) is the source of this 2078-nucleotide long non-coding RNA. RefSeq lists it as uncharacterized. Lineage: Eukaryota; Metazoa; Chordata; Mammalia; Primates; Hylobatidae. The transcript is spliced from 2 exons. The record is from RefSeq and is a predicted model, not a curated record.
CCUAAAAAAGACCCCCCCACAAAAAAAAAAACAAUUAGUGCUUUUCUAGAAAAAGGUACCAUUAUUAAAGUAAAUAUUAAAUGAUUUUAGAAUUGGUGGAGGAACUCUGUUUGUGAACCAAAAAAAGCUCAUUUGUAGCAGAUGCAUGUAUAAUACAAAAAUUUUUAUCUCAAAUAAUAAAUCAUAAUACUGUCCUGUAAGCAAGAAACUCAACUGGUGACAAGGGACAGAGUGACAAGCCCAAACACACACUGUAUCUGAUGAGCUGCUACUAAACAUAGACACCAGGACAAAAAAACAUCACACAUUAUAAUUUUUAAAAAACUACCGUGUAUAACAGCUGUUUUAAAUGAUGUUUUUGCAGAAAAGAACCAUGCAUAAAGAAAUGCAAAGGAAGCUCCAAGUUUAAAGUCAAAAUAAGGGUGGGAAAUUGAGGCAAGAAUAAGAAUUGCAUAACAUUCUACUUUGUAAUCCUCCAAACAGAAAAUAAGUAGUUGUGCUAAAUGCUGCACACAACGCACAAAAUGGUCGGCAAACCAGUGCUCCCUGAAAAUGGAAGAAAUUGGUAACUGCAACAGGAAAUGUCAAUGGAAAGAACCAGAAAGGGGGUACAAAGUGAUCAUUACAAACAAGUCAGAAGUGAACACAAAACAACCUGGCGCAGCUGACAGAAACCACCGUACAUGGUGGCCCACCAAGUCCUCAGGAAGAGGCAGUGGCGUCUGGGCUGCGCUGCCCGGGGAGCACUCCAUCAGCUGCGGAGCAGCGUUCUGCAUAAGCACCUCCAGAGGGAAAGCUGCUCAACCGGUGUGGGAACGUGUCCGCACAGAGAAUGGGUGGCAGUGCCACCACCUGGCAGGGGCUCAGACUUCCAGCAAGUAAGGGCCAGAGAGGCUGCUGAUACUCUACAGUGCCCAGGACAGUCUCACCAAGCCACCAGCCCCUGGCCAUAAAUGAUCCAGUCCAAAAUGUCAGCAGUGCCCAGGCAGAGAAAUCUCAUCCUAAAGCAUGGCAGGUGGAAGAGGAGACUGCUGGACACUUCUGUGGCCAAGCGUAUUUAAAAAAUGCUACACACUGUGAACUCCUUUCCAAGAUUCAUGAUGCAUAUAAGUACUUUAACAGCUGUAAGUCCUACAGAAAAUGAAACCGCACAACUGUGUUUAACCUAGCCCAUCUGAACAUCAAUGUAUAGAACACUAUGACUGUGGCUGGACCGAACGCUUUUUAGCAUCCCCCAAAGCCAGUGUUCUAAUGGUAGAAACGGGUACUGAUGAUACAGAGACCAUGGCUCACCACUGUGCUGAGAAUGGAAAAAUAAAAUCCUGUUGUUGAGAUGAGCUCCAGCAGUCUGUCAACACAUAACGGCAAAGCCAGUGUGAGCACCAGCCACACAGGCAGAGACUCAAGCCUGCCACAAAAGGCCCCUGUCUCCAGCCACUGGAAUGAGAUUCUGGGGAUAUAAAAUAGGAAGCCAGAUAGUGCUGACCAGAAAGGACAGAGAUUUAGGUUUAUCAAGGUCAUUUAACAAAGAAGUAGCUGCUAGUUUGGGGGGAAACUCUAGCGGGCACUAUCUUAGCCACAGAUCACCUCUCUUCAGCAGUGGCCUUACGGACUACAGCCUUAUUUUCCUGAGUCUGUGCCUAUAUGUGAUUCACCAAUUCUAAAGCACGCAUUUUGGAGUAAGCGUAUGAUGACAAGUCCUCUCUGGGUGUCAACAGAGCCUCUGUGAAGGCACAGUGUCUGCUUAGGGUUCUCUAACUACCUCGCUGGGCCAACACAAAACAACACAUGCUACAAUGAAAUGCAACCCAGAGAACACGAAGUGGCGGCUUCUGCUGCAGUGGUUACGUGGUGACUGGCCAGUCCUCAGAAAGUUGAUGGGAAGGAUAUGAGCCUCUGUAACUUCACAGAAAAAAAAAAUGAAAUCUGCAAAGUGCAUCUCCUAGACAGACAGCAAAAAUACCAGCUCCUUCAUAUAUCACCACUAUAAACCACUGUCGCAACAGAAAAGGCCCUGCUCACCCUUGCACCUCCUUCUCAAACCUGCUGUCACAUUUUCUCAAAGAAAAGCAGGGAAA